GCCACCAAUAAGUUUUGAGCCUCAUCGCACAACUGGCAGGUCUGUGGAGCAACUGCCACCACAAAUGGAAGGUCCUUCUGCGAGGGCUAUUUUCCACUAUGAGGAAGGUGGAAUUAUACUUGGAACUACUUCACCACCUGUUGGGCCAUCACAUACUACACAGCCUGGUCCUUCUCAACUU
This is a long non-coding RNA of Argiope bruennichi, 181 nucleotides long. RefSeq lists it as uncharacterized. Lineage: Eukaryota; Metazoa; Arthropoda; Arachnida; Araneae; Araneidae. The record is from RefSeq and is a predicted model, not a curated record. The transcript has 4 exons.